GGGUCAGUAGGUUGGUCGUGCCACCGGUACGUACUGGUCUCACUGAUUCCUCCUUCCUGAAGAACCGUAAUGCCGUUAAUUUGGUGUUGCGGGGAAACAGGACUGUUACUUUGAAAAAAUUAGAGUGUUUAAAGCAAGCUAACGCUUGAAUACAUUAGCAUGGAAUAAUGAAAUAGGACGAUCGAUCCUAUUUUGUUGAUUUCUAGGAUUGACGUA
This 216-nucleotide ribosomal RNA is filed under the name Glomeromycotina sp. RNAcentral's name for it is "partial small subunit ribosomal RNA". The stretch from base 40 to 216 matches the Rfam family "Eukaryotic small subunit ribosomal RNA", at positions 686 to 864 of the family's 1831-position model. The record is from RNAcentral. Lineage: Eukaryota; Fungi; Glomeromycota.